RNAcentral lists this long non-coding RNA (914 nucleotides) under Numida meleagris (helmeted guineafowl). RNAcentral describes it as "lncRNA (ENSNMEG00000022252.1)". Lineage: Eukaryota; Metazoa; Chordata; Aves; Galliformes; Numididae. The record is from RNAcentral.
AUAGUACGAUCUCCAUGGAUUACCUGCUUAAUCUCUAAGGAACUCUAAUUUAAUAAUUAUGUUGUAUCUUUCAGGUUAAAUAGUAUGGCUUUAGAAGCAGAUUUAAAACUUGAAGUUUGAUCCUCAAGUUCCUUUCCAGGAUAUCGGUAAGGUUUUGGUUCUGCCUUAUAUCUGCUCUAGUGCCAAAUAUGCAGAAUGUUUUGCUCUCUUAUCUAUCUGAAAAAAACUUGAUUGGCUGAUUUGUUUAGCAGUGGUCCCAUUCACUGUAAAGAGGAAAGAUUCCAUCAUCAGUAUAUUCCUUUGACCUGGUAUUCACAGUCCCCUAUCAGCUUUAUGCGUUACUGACCUCCACAGGCAUUUUAGGGGAAGGCACAGCAGGAAAAGAGACGAAGGCAUGUUACUACCAUCUGUUGCCGCAAGAAAGAGUCUGGCUUGAUUCCCAUGUCUGCAGCUCAGCUCUUGAAUGGGCAGGAUCAGGAAACACCACGGAGGUGUAAGAAUAUCUCAUAAAUAGAGUCGGCUUGAACACAGAACGGACUCUGAGCAUGCCUCAAGCUUAGCACAUACGGAGAGUGAAUGGUUGUAGAAGGAACUUGGAAAUAUGCAGUUGAGGUUUUUGCUCAAGUAUUCUAAACUUGUGAAUUUGGUUUCCAAGUAGUCUAAGUAACAAUCAGAGAUUAUUCCGCCUGCGAACUGUACAAUAUUACAAGGUUAGACUUCAGAUGUGGUUUAACUCACCCUGCAACAUAAGCACCCAUAGUUUGUUAUGAUGAUCUUCCUUUGGAUGGAAAUGCAUGGAUGGAAAUGCAUUAGUGGUGUCUGCGCAAAUAAUCAGUGAAGAGUAGCGAGAAGAAAAAGCCUCGCAUAGCACCCUGUGUACUCACAGGGUCACAUUGCCUGUUUCUGUUAGUACU